CGCGCGCCCCUGCGCGCGUGGCGUACGGCUCAGUAACGCGUGGUUAACCUGCCCUCGCGAUGGGGAUAACCUCGGGAAACUGAGGAUAAUCCUCAAUAGGCGAUUGGAUCUGGAAGGACCUUUCGCCAAAAGGGACAGGGCGAAUGGGCUCUGUCUGCGCGAGGAUGGGACUGCGUCCCAUCAGGCAGUUGGUGGGGUAAUGGCCCACCAAACCUAUAACGGGUACGGGCCGUGAGAGCGGGAGCCCGGAGAUGGGCACUGAGACAAGGGCCCAGGCUCUACGGAGCGCACCAAGCGCGAAACCUUCGCAAUGCGCGAAAGCGUGACGGGGCUAUCCCGAGUGCUAGCCGCUGAGGCUAGCUUUUGCUCAGUGUAAGAAGCUGAGCGAAUAAGUGGGGGGCAAGACUGGUGUCAGCCGCCGCGGUAAUACCAGCUCCACGAGUGGUCAGGACGGUUAUUGGGCCUAAAGCGUCCGUAGCCGGCCCAGCAAGUUUAUGGUGAAAUCCGGCGUCUCAAGCGUCGGA
RNAcentral lists this ribosomal RNA (524 nucleotides) under uncultured archaeon. RNAcentral describes it as "bacterial SSU rRNA". It matches the Rfam family "Archaeal small subunit ribosomal RNA", at positions 63 to 570 of the family's 1478-position model. The record is from RNAcentral.